Molecule: ribosomal RNA, 497 nt
Filed under: uncultured bacterium
Lineage: Bacteria
Description: partial 16S ribosomal RNA
Rfam family: Bacterial small subunit ribosomal RNA
Source: RNAcentral
GAUGAACGCUGGCGGCGUGCCUAAUACAUGCAAGUCGAGCGAACAGACGAGGAGCUUGCUCCUCUGACGUUAGCGGCGGACGGGUGAGUAACACGUGGAUAACCUACCUAUAAGACUGGGAUAACUUCGGGAAACCGGAGCUAAUACCGGAUAAUAUAUUGAACCGCAUGGUUCAAUAGUGAAAGACGGUUUUGCUGUCACUUAUAGAUGGAUCCGCGCCGCAUUAGCUAGUUGGUAAGGUAACGGCUUACCAAGGCAACGAUGCGUAGCCGACCUGAGAGGCGGAUCGGCCACCCGGGAACGGAGACACGGUCCAGACUACUACGGGAGGCAGCAGUAGGGAAUCUGCCGCAAUGGGCGAAAGCCUGACGGAGCAACGCCGAGUGAGUGAUGAAGGUCUUCGGAUCGUAAAACUCUGUUAUUAGGGAAGAACAAAUGUGUAAGUAACUAUGCACGUCUUGACGGUACCUAAUCAGAAAGCCACGGCUAACUACGUG